CAAGCCCACAAACUUGAAUACCACUGCUCAUCAGUAAUACAUUUUAUUAGAGCUGUCUCAACAUUAUUUGCUACAUAAACCACACAGGCAUAAUCUUGAGGCUGGUAAUAGACCCUGACAUGCCAGGCCCAGAUAUUCUGGGAACUAAGUUGCUUGAGAAUGCAGCCCAAAGUGGUGGGAAACUUCAUCUAAGGCUAAAUACCAACAUGAGAUGGACAGUCAACAAGUACUGUAAGGGAAAGUUGAAAAGAAUUUUGAAGAGAGAGUUCAAGAAAUCCUUCUGAUCGAGG
Molecule: non-coding RNA, 290 nt
Filed under: Otolemur garnettii (small-eared galago)
Lineage: Eukaryota; Metazoa; Chordata; Mammalia; Primates; Galagidae
Description: Eukaryotic large subunit ribosomal RNA
Rfam family: Eukaryotic large subunit ribosomal RNA
Source: Rfam by way of RNAcentral